This is a long non-coding RNA of Arachis duranensis, 613 nucleotides long. RefSeq lists it as uncharacterized. The transcript is spliced from 4 exons. The record is from RefSeq and is a predicted model, not a curated record. Lineage: Eukaryota; Viridiplantae; Streptophyta; Magnoliopsida; Fabales; Fabaceae.
AUGUGGCUGUAGCGACAACCUCCCCAUGGUGGUUGCGGACAAUGACGCUUCCUCAUGAAAAAGGUUGGUGGUGGUGCAGUCCAAAACGCGAGACUGUGGCUUCCUGAAGGCGGAGAUCUUAACACUACCAGAGAAGAAAUCGUGGAGGUUACAGCAGCGGUGAACUUGGAGAACUGUUGCUGCGUAUCCAAUGCUACGCUUUCAAAACAUAUGGGUUACCCAAGAUUGUAAGGAAGUGUUAUGUGAAUUGGCUGAUUGAAGCGUAAAUGGGGAACUGAACCAGAAACACUUAGCCUAAUCGCAAUGCUAAGCUUUGUGGGAAGAGAAUUAUGAAGGAAUCUCUACAUAAAAUUCAGCGUUCUUGGUGGGGCUUUAGUCUGCCGAAAUUGUUUCCAAUUAAUGAUGGUUGCCAGGUUGUUCCCCCCUCACUGUGUCUGAGCUUGCUGUCGAACCAACCGGUAUUUUCUGGCUGAAAUUGAGGGACCUGAGCAAAAAUCUGAUUCAGAGACUGAAAAGGACUGCAGAUGCUGUUGGAUUCUGACCUUCCUGCACUCGAAGUGGAUUUUCUAGAGCUACAGAAGCCCAAUUGGCGCGCUCUCAACGGCGUUGGAAA